This 425-nucleotide ribosomal RNA is filed under the name uncultured bacterium. Its description in RNAcentral is "partial 16S ribosomal RNA". It matches the Rfam family "Bacterial small subunit ribosomal RNA", at positions 354 to 796 of the family's 1533-position model. The record is from RNAcentral.
GUGGGGAAUCUUGCGCAAUGGGCGAAAGCCUGACGCAGCCAUGCCGCGUGAAUGAUGAAGGUCUUAGGAUUGUAAAAUUCUUUCACCGGGGACGAUAAUGACGGUACCCGGAGAAGAAGCCCCGGCUAACUUCGUGCCAGUAGCCGCGGUAAUACGAAGGGGGCUAGCGUUGCUCGGAAUUACUGGGCGUAAAGGGCGCGUAGGCGGACAGUUUAGUCAGAGGUGAAAGCCCAGGGCUCAACCUUGGAAUUGCCUUUGAUACUGGCUGUCUUGAGUACGGGAGAGGUGAGUGGAACUCCGAGUGUAGAGGUGAAAUUCGUAGAUAUUCGGAAGAACACCAGUGGCGAAGGCGACUCACUGGCCCGUUACUGACGCUGAGGCGCGAAAGCGUGGGGAGCAAACAGGAUUAGAAACCCUAGUAGUCC